GAUGAAGAACGUAGUGAAAUGCGAUAAGUAAUGUGAAUUGCAGAAUUUAGUGAAUCAUCGAAUCUUUGAACGCAUAUUGCGCCCGCCAGCACUCUGGCGGGCAUGCCUGUUCGAGCGUCAUUACAACCCUCAGGCCCCCGGGCCUGGCGUUGGGGAUCGGCGGAAGCCCCCUGCGGGCACAACGCCGUCCCCCAAAUACAGUGGCGGUCCCGCCGCAGCUUCCAUUGCGUAGUAGCUAACACCUCGCAACUGGAGAGCGGCGCGGCCACGCCGUAAAACACCCAACUUCUGAAUGUUGACCUCGAAUCAGGUAGGAAUACCCGCUGAACUUAAGCAUAUCAAUAAGCGGAGGA
Molecule: unclassified non-coding RNA, 353 nt
Filed under: soil metagenome
Description: partial contains 5.8S ribosomal RNA, internal transcribed spacer 2, and large subunit ribosomal RNA
Rfam family: 5.8S ribosomal RNA (bases 1-120)
Source: RNAcentral